CCUACGGGUGACAGCAGUGAGGAAUAUUGGUCAAUGGGCGCGAGCCUGAACCAGCCAAGUAGCGUGAAGGAAGACUGCCCUACGGGUUGUAAACUUCUUUUAUAAAGGAAUAAAGUGAGGCACGUGUGCCUUUUUGAAUGUACGUUAUGAAUAAGGAUCGGCUAACUACGUGCCAGCAGCCGCGGUAAUACGGAGGAUCCGAGCGUUAUCCGGAUUUGUUGGGUUUAAAGGGAGCGUAGAUGGGUUGUUAAGUCAGUUGUGAAAGUUUGCGGCUCAACCGUAAAAUUGCAAUUGAUACUGGCAGUCUUGAGUGCAGAUGAGGUAGGCGGAAUUCGUGGUGUAGCGGUGAAAUGCGUAGAUAUAACGAAGAACUCCGAUGGCGAAGGCAGCUUACUGGACUGCCACUGACGUUGAUGCUCGAAAGUGUGGGUAUCGAACAGGAUUAGAUACCCUUGUAGUC
This 460-nucleotide ribosomal RNA is filed under the name uncultured bacterium. Its description in RNAcentral is "partial 16S ribosomal RNA". It matches the Rfam family "Bacterial small subunit ribosomal RNA", at positions 338 to 795 of the family's 1533-position model. The record is from RNAcentral.